Molecule: long non-coding RNA, 1812 nt
Filed under: Homo sapiens (human)
Lineage: Eukaryota; Metazoa; Chordata; Mammalia; Primates; Hominidae
Description: non-protein coding lnc-EZH2-7:4
Source: RNAcentral
AUUGUUUUCACGUGUACUUCGAAGUCAUCUCAUUUGAAAUUAACUGUCAUAAUUGACUAUUUGGAAUAUUCAACCUAAAUACUACCCGCUGCUGUGGUGACGGGGGGUGGAGGAAGCGUGGUGGAACCCCAACACCUAGUGAGGGGUGGCUGAUUAAUACCACGGCUCACAACAUAACAGAGCGGCUCAUUCCAUGAACAACCCCGGGGGGAUUUCGAAUUCUAUCAUCUGGGCAAAAGAUGUGAUGAGUGUAACUUCCUGUUUUCUCCAAACUAAAACACUACGCAGAUUCCUGUACCGCUCUGGGACAGAAAUCCUCAGCCAGAGCAGAGGCCGUCCCCAGAGUCCACACUGUUUCCUGCAUAAAGUGGGUUAUCUCAGAAGAAACAUCCCACUGGUCUGUGUGAUCCUUCUAUUGAAAUGUGGUCUUUUAUCUACAUCUAAGUAUCUCUAGAAGUAAUGCGUUUGUAUGUACUUGUCACUCAGAUAUGUAAUCCCUUAAUUUGUGCGGGGUUUUGGGGUGUGAAAAAUUCUUGGUUUAUAUCCUACACUUUUAAAUAACCUCGUCAAAACUUACAUGUAUUUAACACCUUUUUUUGUGAGCACAUGGUAAGGUUGGAAGUAAAAAUGGAAGGUUUAUCCCUGUGGCCCAUGUUUUCCAGUGUACCUAUGUGGGGUUUUAAAAAAAUGUCCCAAUUUCUUCCUUUUACUGGAGACUGCGUUUUUUAGACAACAGCUUAUCUUCCUAUUCCCUAACCAGUCUUCUCCAAUCUUACCAUUCAAUAUAGCCUCCUUUUCUGUGACUUCCUCCAGCUGAAUAGAAGGGCUGAGUGGGUCAACCUUCCCUGUAUUGUUUGUUUCCUCCACCCUCUCUUUUUCCUUAAUAGCAGUAUUUGGUCCACCCACACCACCCUCUCUCUUCUCACUGCCUCCAUUCCUGGUUCUUAACUCCUUUCUAUUCUUUACUCUCCACCUGCCUACACGAUCAUUCUUAGCAGCAAAUUUAUUCCAUCGACUUUUACGUCCACUUAACAUCCAGAUUGCAUUUACUUUGCGCAGAUAACCUUGCCGCCUACCUCACAAGUCAAGGCCACCUGCUGCUCUCUUUCUACUUUAAAACAUCCUUCCUCCAUCUUUACCCCCCAACUCAGCAAAAUUGAUGUCUCUCUCGGAUGACCCAAAGUUUGGAGGGAUAAUUAAUUUGAUAGAUGUCAGAAUCAAAGUUCAAAACAGUCUCAACAGGCUACAACAUUAGGCCAAAAGCAAUGAAAUAAAAUAUAACUUUCAAAUCUAAAUAUGAUGUACUAGCUGGAAAAGCCCAAGUUUUAGAUUUUAGACCUUGGUUUGUAUCUAGUUACCCAAAUUUGAGUCAUAUCCAGUAACUCAAAUUACUAUCUUUUGCUCUAGUAAGGUCAACUGUUAAUUUGAGAUAAAAAUACCUACUUCAUAAGAGUGUGAAGAGUAAUUUAUUUAUAAUUCCCACGUAAUUCGUGGAACAUUCACCAACCAUUAGUUCCCCUCCCUUCCUCAUCGUCCACAAAGUGGUUGUCUCUGUUGCCAUUCAUAACACAUUCUUUAAUUCAUACAGACCUGGAAACAGACUCAAAAUCCUGGCCCGUUCACCUUGUAUCCCAGAGCUGUCACCAUCGUAGAGAAAUCGUUUGCCUCUUUUGGGUCAGUCAUUAUCAUCAUCAUACCCAUUUUUUCAAUGAAAAAACCUAAGGCUCAGAGAUGUUAGGCAAUUUGCUCCAAAUCACUCAGCCUGAUCAGUGGCAUAACCUGACCCAGUGACUCAUGAUUCUGUGUAUAUCC